CCAUAGCCCCGAUUGCAGCGGUUACCCCACAGCAAGCCUUGGGAUUGCGGCUGCGCGAGGAGUAUGAACGGAAAGCGGGAUUAAGC
RNAcentral lists this unclassified non-coding RNA (86 nucleotides) under Epilithonimonas zeae. Its description in RNAcentral is "Chryseobacterium zeae Flavo-1 RNA". The record is from RNAcentral. Lineage: Bacteria; Pseudomonadati; Bacteroidota; Flavobacteriia; Flavobacteriales; Weeksellaceae.